This 497-nucleotide ribosomal RNA is filed under the name uncultured bacterium. Its description in RNAcentral is "partial 16S ribosomal RNA". It matches the Rfam family "Bacterial small subunit ribosomal RNA", at positions 28 to 507 of the family's 1533-position model. The record is from RNAcentral.
GAUGAACGCUGGCGGCGUGCCUAAUACAUGCAAGUCGAGCGAACAGACGAGGAGCUUGCUCCUCUGACGUUAGCGGCGGACGGGUGAGUAACACGUGGAUAACCUACCUAUAAGACUGGGAUAACUUCGGGAAACCGGAGCUAAUACCGGAUAAUAUAUUGAACCGCAUGGUUCAAUAGUGAAAGACGGAUUUGCUGACACUUAUAGAUGGAUCCGCGCCGCAUUAGCUAGUUGGUAAGGUAACGGCUUACCAAGGCAACGAUGCGUAGCCGACCUGAGAGGGUGAUCGGCCACACUGGAACUGAGACACGGUCCAGACUCCUACGGGAGGCAGCAGUAGGGAAUCUUCCGCAAUGGGCGAAAGCCUGACGGAGCAACGCCGCGUGAGUGAUGAAGGUCUUCGGAUCGUAAAACUCUGUUAUUAGGGAAGAACAAAUGUGCAAGUAACUAUGCACGUCUUGACGGUACCUAAUCAGAAAGCCCCGGCUAACUACGUG